RNAcentral lists this long non-coding RNA (28735 nucleotides) under Medicago truncatula (barrel medic). RNAcentral describes it as "long non-coding RNA (MTRU_LNC003836)". Lineage: Eukaryota; Viridiplantae; Streptophyta; Magnoliopsida; Fabales; Fabaceae. The record is from RNAcentral.
UCAAUUCAUUGACAAGUUUCUCCACCUCUUCUCUCUUUACAUUCGUAUCGAUUUCCAUCCCAAUCUCCCAUUCAUUGUAAAUAAGUCUACAGUUUGUUGGCUGAUCACCAAAGAAUGGCCAACACAACAUUGGAACUCCAGCACAUAUGCUUUCAGUGGUUGAGUUCCAUCCGCAAUGAGUCAAGAAUCCGCCAAUUGAAGGGUGGUUCAAUACUUUCUCCUGUGGACACCAACUUGCAAUUAAGCCUCUAUCUGAAAUUUCAUUCACAAACUCAGAUGACAAAACGACUGAGCCACCAAUGACAAGGUCAGGCCUAAUGAUCCACAAAAAGGGUUUAUUGCAAUUGGCCAACCCCCAAGCAAAUUCCAACAGUUGUUUUGGUGUCAUAACUGUAAUGCUUCCAAAAUUCACAUAAACAACGGAUCCCGGCUCCUUGGAUUCAAGCCAUUCAAGACACUUAGUAUCUUCUUUCCAAAGGUUGGAACCUAAAGAAUCCAAUUGAUGAAUUUGUGGAGUUUGGUUUAAUAAUGAAGGUAAAGGGCCAAUGGGGUAAAGAGAAGGAAACAUAGAGGAGAGAGCAUUUAUUACAUCACUCUAAAGUUCAUGGAAAGUAUUCAAAACAAUUGUAGAGUCUCCAAGAACUUUAUCAGCCGCAUCAAUUACAAAGUCUAACAUAAUAUCAUUUGGAUCUGUUGUCCUGAUACUGUCAAAGAUAUCCUUUAACCGAAAGUUUUUCAAACCUGGAAUCCAAUCUACAUUAGUUUCCAAAUAUCCAUUUGUUAGAUAGCUCUGAUCUGCAUAUCAAAUGUAUCAGUUAAUAUCUUGAAGGUUAUACAUACAUCCGUACAUACAUGAGUAUUUUGUUUUCGACAAAAACAUACAUAUAUAAUAAGGUAUUAUAAAUUGAAUAAAAGUCAUUUAUUGAUGUAUAAAUUUUAAUUUUGAAGUUUUAUGAAAUUUGUGGAGUUCCUCUAUUCAAUAAGAGUUUUUAAUUUGAUGGUUGCUUUAUUGAAAUUUAGUGUCUACAUUGAGUUUUAUAUUAACUGAAACUAUAUCAAGUGUUACUCUUGGAGUAAGUUGAUUAUCUCGCACACGACCAUUUAUAUAGAUUUAAUUCAUAUAUAGAGUCAAAGUAAAAGUUUUUUACACCGUCAAUAAAUCAUAAGUGUCAGAAUAGUGUAGCAAAAUUAAUAUUAAUCUCUCUAUAAAUAUAUACUUUAUGAAGAAAAAAACUUAACUUAGUACCUUUGAGUGGCGUGAGACCUUUUUCUACAAAGGAACGUAAGUGGUGAAUACUCAGUAACAAACUUGCACUGGAUGGAAAGAAGAUAACAAUUGGUAGUGCAAAUUCUUCAGCAGCUUGUAUAGUAAAGCUCAUAAAAUAAUCAGAAACUAAGCAAGUAACUGGUGGAACAUUGGCAGAGUCAUUAAGUCUUGUAAGAAGUUCACAAAAAGGUUUAAGGAAAUUUUUUCUUAUAGAUUGAGCAAGAGAAGGUACAUCUUGACUAACAUCACCAUCACCUUCUAUCGGUGUUAGACCAUCUGGUAUGGUUUCAAAGCAAAAACCACGGGAACCAUCUAAGGCAUUUGGACCUCUUGAUUUUAGCAAUCGUUUAUGAUUGUAUUCAGUGUUGACAAAGGUUAUAUGAAAUCCUCUAAGGUGAAGAAGUUUUGCAAGUUUGAACAAUGGAUUUAUAUGUCCUUGAAAUGGAGCUGGAAUCAACACAGCAUGUGGUUUUCUGUUUGCAAAACUUCCCAUCUUUGAAAUUUUUCUGUUUGUAUGUUAUUUGUGCAAGAUAUGAGGUUGAAAAACAAGUGAUAGGCAUGUGCUUUUAUAGAGAGAAAAAAGGACAAUGCUACAAAAUUGAAAAAUAUAAAGAAAUCCAAACAGAUAAAUUCUGGGAGGUUCUAACAAAAGGAAAUAAGUUCAUUGUAUGAAAAGACAGACACAUAAAAAGACACCAAAAAUGACACUGACACGUUAACGUCAAUGAUAAUUUGAGAAAUAAAUUAAUUCAAUGUAAUUACAAUGUGUCUGACAUAAAAUUGAAAUCUUAUACAGGUAUGUUCUUGUAAACUUUCCUAUAUGACUCAUUAUAUUGAUUGAAUAUGUUUGUUGGUAUUUGGUUUAACCAAUCAAUGUGGCAUUAACAAUUCAACUGUUACUUGUUACUUAGAUGUCGUUUGAGAUUUAUUUGGGAAUUGAUAAAAUAGAAAAGUUGAGAAAAACUUUAUAUUGUGAUCCUAAAAUCACUAAUAUAACCAAAUUGAAUCUAACCAUAUCUAACUAUCUUCCAAAAUAUUAAACUAAUUUUAACAAAUCUGAAACUACAUCUAACACAUACUUGCAUGGAAUUGCAACCAUUCAGUAGAAAGAUAUUAUCAAACAAAAUCUUCAUAUGCUUGUGGACCAACUCUAUACGUUUCAGUUUCAAAAUUGAACUAGAAGGCACUUCUAUUCAAGUAAGUAUAAGAUAGUUCUGACAUCAAAGAUUUUUGUUGUACAAAGAAAAUAAUUAUGUCCACUUAUUUAUUUUAUAAUAGUCUAUUGGCUAUUAUUUUCCAUGCUUGAAUCAGUCAGACAUUAGACAUCACAAAAAAAAUAUUAGUCCCUUUCAACAAGGGCUCAUGAUUAUCUCCAAAAGUUACAAUUGCAUAAAAGUCAAAUUCACUUUUAUUGUGCAGAAUAGUGACUAGUGGAUAUGUUGUCUUCAUUAUCAAUGGUACCUUCCAUAAGGGCUUUGUGUCCUCUAAUUUUUUUACUAGUCUUUAUUUAUGCAUGUAUUAUAAUCCUUUAUCAUGUCUAUGAGAUAUGGGCUCAAUGGUAAAAAUUUCAGCCAGUAAUCUCAAAGGACAAAGUUCAAACUCCCUUGAUAACAGUGGUAAAAUGGUCAUUGUUGUAACUUUAAUUAAUAAUUCUUAUUUUCACUAAUAAGAAUGUUAAAAUAUGUCUUGAAAUCUCAUGUUAAAAGUUUUUUUUCUUUUCGGUUUGAUUAUUGUCCCCAUGCGCUGGGCGAAGCUGUUUGCUGUUUUCAUCAUGUUGCUAUUUUGUUGCUUGGAUGAGGCGAUAUAGCUAAAUGAGUCAUAGGUGUGCGUCAAGAUCUAUAGAUAAGCAAUUUUUGCAUCAGUUUUCAGGGUGAAAAUGUGUGAAUUUUAGGGUUACAAAAGAGGGAAUUUUUAGGGUUAAAAGUUGAGAGCUUUUGGAAAAAUUAUAGGAUUAGGAAACAUUUUUGUACAUCUUGGAAAUAAAGCAUCGAGUCUUUUGUCCAUCGGAAGAGAAUUGGGAAAAUUGUAACCCUUGUAUUUCUUUGUAAGAAACUCUUUGUUAGUGGUAAGCCAGAUUUGGGUCGAACUGGAUAACUUUGUUUUGGUUGUUGCUAAUAUUUCUCCACACUUCAAAGUAUUGAUGUGAGUUUUUACAAAUUCACAACAACUGGAACCCACCGUGGGAGAAAUAAGAGGUAACUUUUUCAAGUGUGCAACAUGGGUACCAACUGGGAUAUCAAUAAAUUUAUCGGAGACAACGAUUUGGGGCUGUGAAAAGUGAAGAUGAAAGAUGUGUUGAUUCAACAAAAGUUUGCAGAAGCACUGAAGGAUGAGGUUGCUCUCCCAGCUACCAUGUUACAAGCAAACAAGACCGAGAUGGUGGACAAGGCCAUGAGUGUCAUUGUCUUGUGCCACACUGAUAAAGGUUUUAGAGAAAUCGUAAAGGAGCAAUUGACGAGUCCUACAAAAUCCUUGAUGAUUUGACAACUAUUAAAGUGGAUAUUGAGGAUGAAGACACGGAUAUACUCUUAUUAUUAUGAGCAUUAGCUAGAUCCUUUGAGAACUUCAAGGAUACUAUGCUUUAUGGUAAAGAAGUCAUUGUCACUUCGAGGAAGUCCAAGAGGCACAUAACCAAGUCCAAGAACUUGAAAGUUGAUGAUAGUGGUGAAGACAUGAGUGUCUAAAGAGGAAGACGUAUAAGUUGAUGAAAUCGAGGAAGCUCAAUUGAUGGUGCAAGUUGAAGUACAAAUACUCCAAGUGUCAAACGACCGGUCACUUCAAUAAGGACAUUCCCAAGUUAGAGGACAUUAAUGAUUCCGCACAAUUUGCAUUUGCAACAUCAGUGAAUGUUUUUGAAUGUUCACGGAAAGAACCUUUAAUUUCAAAUCAAUCUAUGCAACAAGAAGCUGAUAGUGUAGUGCAGAGAAGUAUGCUUUUGAAGUAUGAUUUCCAAGACAUCCUUAAUCACUUUGUCCAAGUUCAUGUAUGAAGAAUCACCAGGUCUUGUGUCCUUCUCUGCCUUCUUCUUCUUCAACUCCACGGCCUUUUGCCUCAUCUUUUUUCCUUUCUGUCCCACCAUUAAUUCAUUCAUCAGCUUCUCCACCUCCUCUCUCUUCACAUUUGUAUCAAUUUCGAUUCCGAUCUCCAACUUAUUACAAAUAUAUCUGCAGUAUGUUGGCUGCUCAGAAAAAAAAGGCCAACAUAACAUUGGUACUCUGGCACAAAUGCUUUCCAAUGUGGAGUUCCAUCCACAAUGAGUCAAGAAUCGUCCAACUGAAGGGUGGUUCAACACUUGCUCUUGCGGACACCAGCUUGCUAUUUGGCCUCUAUCCGAAGUUCCAUUCACAAACUCGGAUGACAAAAUAACUGAGCCACCAAUGACAAGCUAAGGCCUAAUGAUCCACAAAAAAGGUUUCUUGCUGUUGGCAAAACCUCAAGAGAACUCUAACUGCUCUGGAGUCAUAACCAUAGUGCUUCCAAAAUUCACAUAAACUACAGAACCUUGUUCCUUAGAUUCAAGACAUUUCAUAUCUUCUUUCCAAAGAUUGGAACCUAAAGAAGCCAAGUGCUUUUGGGGAUUUUGAUUCAAAAACGAAGAUAAAGGGCCAAUGGCGUAAAUAGAAGGGAUCUUAAUAGAUAGAGCCUUUACUACAUCACUCUCAAGUUCAUUAUAAGUAUUGAAAACAAUAGCGUUAGCUUCAUGAACCAUAUCGUCCGCUUCAAUGAUAAAAUUUAUCAUUAGGAUCAGUAGUUCUUAUAAAAUCAAGCAGGUCCUUUAGUCUAAUGUUUCGCAAACCUGGAAUCCAGUCAACUUUAGUGACCAAAUAUCCAUUUGUCAGAUAACUCAUCUGCAUAUUAUAAUCACAAAAUCCAUUAGCUUAAAGUUAAAACUCUGAACCCCUAAUAUAUAUCAUAUUAAUUCUAAUACUACAUUCUAUGUUGUAUACAUACUCUCAGUUUCUCCAAAGGAAGAACUUCCAUAGUAAAACUAAACUAUAGUAAUGAAACUCUUCACUUCUGCAUAAUAGUCCUACACUAUCGAUAAAGAAAGAACAUAAAUGAUUACCUUUGAGGGGUAUGACACCUUUAUCAAUAAAUGUACGAAAGAGCAAAGCACACAAAAGUGAGGAUGCACUAGCAGGAAUAAUUCAAUAUCAGAAACUAAGCAACUAACAGGAGGAAUAAGAUCAUCAUUGGAAGAAUCUUUUAAGUUUAGCAAGAAGUUCACAAAAAGGGUGAUAGAAAUUCUUUCUUAUUGAAUCAUCAAGAGAGACAAUUUCUUGACUAAUAUCACCAUAACCUUCUGUCGGAGUUAAACCAUCUGGAAUAGUCUCAAAGGUAAAAUCAGUGAAACCAUCAAAGGCUUUUGGACCUCUUGAUUUGAGCAAAUGUUUGUGAUUUCGGUGUUGACAAAGGUUAUGUGAAAGCCUCUAAGGUGAAGAAGUUUUGCUAGUUUCAAUAAUGGAUUGAUAUGGCCUUGAAGUGGAUAUGGAGUUAUGCUUACUGAUAUGAGUGAGAAGCAUAAGAAAAUCAUAAAUAUAUUUGACUUUAAUAGGUCCCCCAAAUCAUUGGAAUAUAAAAGUUAGGUGCACAAUUUUUCAUCAAGAAUUUGUUUGCAGCACGCAUUGGAAGUUUGUUUAUUUUUAUUCUCAUUAAGAAUUUGUUGGCACUGCACAUGCAUAUACAAUUGUUUCUUGGUUGAAAAAUAAUAUAUUUUUCAUGGUUUAUACUAUUUCAAUUCUUUUCUUGUUGAUAGUUGAAAUGGCAAGAAUCGUUGAAAACUCGCACACAUAAGUGGAGAAGUUUGGAUUCGAAACCCCAGUUACGGAGUUGGCCUAACAAUUUUGUUCUUUAUUGUCUAUUAAGCUAGAACUUGUCGACAUUUAUUUCCUGUUUUUUAUCAGACCAUACAUGUGAAUUUGAAUUGCAUGCAAGCACAAUUUCCACGCGAUCAGAAUUAAUUCAAUCAACAGCUCGGAGUCAUUUCAUCAAAUAUUCGACGUCUCUUAUUGUAGGAUAUGUGAAUCCAUUUUAAAAGCAAACUUAAAAUUGGAGUCGUCCAAUGUUAAUCUAAUAUCUCCGAGCUGCGCUGGCUGAACAAGUGCCUAAAAUUGUGAUUGUAGACAAAGGUUGCUAGUAAAAAUACUUCCUUAUCUUAGUUUUAAACGAUUCAUUAUAUUGCAUCUAAAUAGAAAAUAGAGAAAAACAUAAAAUUUAUAGUUCUGUUAUUGAUGAAAUGAUUUCCUAAAAGAAAAAAGCUUUGAAACUAUAACCUCUACGUACCGAGAAAUAGAAUGCUCAUAUACAUAUUCCCACCAAUAUUUUUCACUUCAAAUGAAUGUAACUAAAUGUAUCGGGGUCGUUUAGGUGUCAAAUAUCAACAUGUGAAGUGUCAAUGCUACACACUUUAAAACCUUCAACCUAAGUAAGCUUACCAUGUCUAUUUUAUUUUAAAACUGAUUUCUAUUUUAGAGUAAAAUAUUUACUUAUGACUUGUAUUUAAUUAGUUAAUCCUGAUAAAACUAUAAAUCUUGUAUAGAACGAUAGAACGAUAUUAAUUUAAACCUGUACACACAGAAAAAUGAUUGGUUUGCCUUAAUUUAUCCUAUACAUGAUAAUGGAAUUCAACAUAGUGUGCAAAAGCCUUACCUACCCCAUAUAAUUAUCCAAUUCAAUACAUUUAAUAUUAGCAAGAAGCACUAUUUUAGUUUAAGAAUUCUUGCACAAGAUAUGUUCGAUACAGUCAUCAUGAACUCAUUACUUAUUCACUACAAUAGCCUCAUCCCUUAAAUUCAAUAGCAGAAGAUCAAUGGAUCAAUAUAAUACUACAUUGCAUUAAAAACGUCACUUAGGUGUGAUUUUAUUUAAGCAAAACCUCCUUAAUCACUUUUUCCAAGUUCAUGUAUGAACAACCACCAGGUCUCGUGUCCUCCUCCGCCUUCUUCUUCAUCUCCAUUAUAUUUUUCCUCAUCUUCUUUCCUUUAUCUCCCACCAUCAAUUCAUUGACCAAAUUCUCCACCUCAUUUCUCUUCACAUUAGUAUCGAUUUCGAUUCCAAUCUCCCAUGUAUUGCAGAUAUAUCUACAGUUUGCUGGCUGAUCAGCAAAAAAUGGCUAACACAACAUUGGAACUCCAGUAGAUAUGCUUUCGGUCGUUGAGUUCCAUCCACAGUGAGUCAAGAAACCACCAAUUGAAGGAUGGUUCAAUACUUUCUCUUGCGAGCACCAACCAGCAAUUAGGCCUCUAUCUGAAAUUUCAUUCACAAACUCCGAUGACAAAACAACUGAGCCACCAAUGACAAGAUCGGGCCUAAUGAUCCACAAAAAGAGUUGCUUGCUAUUUGCUAAACCCCAUGCAAACUCUAACAGUUUUUCUGAAGUCAUAACUGUCCUGCUCCCAAAAUUCACAUAAACAACGGACCUCGGUUCCUUUGAUUCAAGCCAAUCAAGACACUUGUUAUCUUCUUUCCAAAGAUUGGUACUUAAACUUGCCAAGUGAUUCUGUGGACUUUGACUUAAAAGUGAAGAUAAAGGGCCAAUAGCAUAAACAUUAGGGAACGUCGAAGAGAUAACUUUCAUUACAUCCUUCUCAAGUUCAUUAGAAGUAUUAAAAAUAAAAGCAGAGGCUCUGUGAGCCCUUCCUGCUGCUUCAAUGAUAAAUUCUACCAUCGAAUCAUUUGGAUCAGUAAUCUGUAUAAAGGCAGGCAAAUCCCUCAGUCGAAAGUUCUUCAGUCCUGGCAUACAGUCCACUUUAGUGUCCAAAUAUCCGUUUGUCAGAUAACUCUCAUCUGCAUAUCAAAUUUACAAAAGUUGUUAGUGUGAAAUUGAAUCUCCAUACUCCAAAUAUAUGUCAUAUGAACACUUUAACUACUCUACACAUAUGAAGAAAGAAAGAAGAUUAAUUGUUACCUUUUAGUGGUAUGAGACCUUUAUCUAGAAAUGUACGUAAAUGAAUACCAGUCAGAAAUGUACAUGCAUUGGAUGGACUAAAGACAACAUUAGGGAUUGAAAGUUCUUCAGCAGCUUGUAUAGUAAAGGACAUGCUAAUAUCAGAAACUAUGCAACUAACUGGACGGACAAGACCAGAUGUUGCAGAGUCAUUAAGUCUAGCAAGAAGUUCGCGGAAAGGUUGUAGAAAAUUCUUCCUGAUUGAUUUACAAAGAGCGUAAAUGUCUUGACUAACAUCGCCAUCGCCAUCCGUUGGAGAUAAACCAUCUGGAAUACUCUCAAAGUUAAAAUUGGUGAAACCAUCAAAGGCAUUUUGACCUCUUGACUUGAGCAACCGUUUGUGAUUGUAUUCAGUGUUUACAUAGGUUAUGUGAAAACCUCUAAGGUGAAGAAAUUUUGCUAGUUGCAACAAUGGAUUGAUAUGGCCUUGAACUGGAUAUGGGAUUAACACAGCAUGUGGUUUUUUAUCACUCAUUAUUGAGUUUUUGUGUUUGAAUGUUGAGCUAAGGAAACCAAUGUUUUAAUAAAGAUAAAUCCAAUGUUUCUUGGAUUUGUGGAAAAGAAGAUAGAGACAAAAGACAAGGAAAGCAAAAUCAAAUUUAAAGGGUGAGAUCUUUUUCUUAUAAUAUGAAAUAAUUCUAAGUGACACAAUAAUUGAUGCAUACUAGUCAAGUCACCACUUUUUGUUACGUGAGAGAAGGAAAACAAUUUUUCAUUAAAAAGUUUAUAGCACAAACUUAAGAAUGCCUUUAGUAUGCGGUGGUCAGAAUUGAUUUAAAUAAAUUUGUUUGUUAAAAUUAGUUUUUGUUAAAAAGGGCGUUGGAUAUAAAAUUAUUUAUACUUAUAUAUAUUUACGUAAAUUUGAGUUGAGCAAAAAAUUAAAGACUUAAAAUCAAAGACUAAAAAUUGAAGACUUAUCUAACUUAAAUACUAUUAGUUAGACAUCGUUUGGGAUUUAUUUUGGAAUUGAUAGAAUAAUAAAGUUGAGAAACACUGUAUAUUGUGAUCCUAAGAUCACUAAUAUAACCAACCUUGCAUCUAAUCAUAACUAACUUUUUUUUAUAAGCAAUAAUCAUAACUAACUUAUAACUAUCUUAAACAAUACUAAACUAAUUUCAACAAAUAUGAAACUAUAUCUAACACAUACUUGCAUGGAAUUGCAACCAUUCAGUAGAAAGAUAUUAUCAAACAAAAUCUUCAUAUGCUUGUGGACCAACUCUAUACGUUUCAGUUUCAAAAUUGAACUAGAAGACACUUCUAUUCAAGUAUAAGAUAUAUAGUUCUGACAUCAAAGAUUUUUGUUGUACAAAGAAAAUAAUUAUGACCACUUAUUUAUUUUAUAAUAGUCUAUUGGCUAUUAUUUUCCAUGCUUGAAUCAGUCAGACAUUGGACAUCACAAAAAUAUUUGUCCCUUUCAACAAGAGCUCAAGAUUAUCUACAAAGUCUCAAUUCCAUAAAAGCCAAAUUCAUUUUUAUAUGUUGUCCCUUUACACAUGAAUUAUAAUCCUUUAUCACGCUACAACGUAUCAGCUCAAUGGUAAGAGUUUGAGCUUGUAAUCUCAAAGGACAAAGUUUAAAUUCCCUUAAUAACAAUGGUAAAAUGCUCAUUGUUGUAACUUUAAUUAAUAAACACUUAUUUUGACUAAUAGGAAUGUUAAAAUAUGUCUUGAAAUCUCAUGUUGAAAGUUUUUUUACUUUACUAUUGCCCCCAUGCGCUAGGCGCAGUUGUUUGUUGUUUUUAGCAUGUUUCUAUUUUGUAGCUUGCAUGAGGCGAAGGGUAUAGCUGAUUUAGCAGGUGUGCGUCAUGAUCUAUAUUAGUUAGGGGACAUUGAUGAUUCCACACAAUUGGCAUUUGCAAACAUCAAUGAAUGUUUUUGAAUGUUUAAAUAAGAAAGAACCUUUGAAUUCAAAUGCUUUCAAAUCAAUCUAUGCAACCAGAAGCUGACAAUGUAGUGCAGAGAAAUUUUAUAAAAGAUCAAAAGAAGAAUAUAAAUAUAAUAUUAAUAUGAUUUUCAACUAUUGUCUUACUUUGAUUCAGGUGAAUUCAAUCAAUCAAAAUUUGAAGGGGAAAAAUAAAGGUAUGUGAUCUUUAUUUAUGAAGAAUGAACUUGAUGAACAAGAAUGCAUCAUUACAAUGUUUCUGACUAAAUUGUUGAUGUUCAUACUUAAGAACAUAGGAAGACCUAAAAUAUGAAUUAUUUGUUCCUAACAAAACUAUAUAUAUUGUAUAAAAGUGACUUAAGCUUGAUUUUGUUUAAGCAACACCUCCUUAAUCACUUUCUCCAAGUUUGUGUAUGAACAACCUCCAGGUCUCGUGUCCACCUCCACCUUCUUCUUCAGCUCAAUGGCUUUUUGCCUCAUCUUCUUUCCUUUAUCUCCGGACAUCAAUUCAUUGACCAGUUUCUCCACCUCCUCCCUCUUUACAUUAGUAUCGAUUUCCUUUCCAAUCUCCCAUUCAUUGCAAAUAUAUCUGCAGUUUGCUGGCUGAUCCGAAAAAAAUGGCCAACAUAACAUUGGAACUCCAGCACAUAUGCUUUCAGUGGUUGAGUUCCAUCCGCAAUGAGUCAAGAAUCCACCGACUGAAAGGUGGUUCAAUACUUUCUCUUGUGGACACCAACUUGCUAUUAGUCCUCUAUCUGAAAUUUCUUUCAAAAAAUCAGAUGAGAAAACCACCGAGCCACCAAUGACAAGAUCAGGCCUAAUGAUCCACAAAAAGGGUUUUUUGCUGUUGGCCAAACCCCAAGCAAACUCUACGAGCUUCUCUCGAGACAUAACAGUGAUGCUGCCAAAAUUUACAUAAACAACAGAUCUUGGUUCUUUUGAUUCAAUCCAUUCAAGACAUUUAGUAUCUUCUUUCCAAAGAUUAGAGUCUAAAGAUGUCAAGUCAUUUUGUGGACUUUGAUUUACAAAAGAAGCUAAUGGACCAAUUGUGUAUAGAGAAGGGAACAUAGAAUAGAAAGCAUUCAUAACAUCACUCUCAAGUUCAUUAGAAGUAUUGAAUACCAUACCAGAAGCUCUAUGACAUUUAUCUGCCACUUCAGUAUUAAAUCUUAUCGUCAAGUCAUUAGGAUUUUUUGUCUUUAUUAACCUAGGAAGAUCCUUCAAUCUGAAGUUUUUCAAACCUGGGAUCCAGUCAAUUUUUGUGUCCAAAUAUUCAUUUGUUAGAUCACUCUCAUCUGCAUGUCAUAAUUGCAAAAAUCAAUAGCAAGUCAUAUGUAUAAAUAUAUAUAUCAAGGUUUAAAAUCACAUUUGCAAUAAUAAUUUUGGUUGUGUUAUCCUACUGAUAUUGCAUAUAAUCCCAAUCAAAUGUGGUUGAUGCAACCUCAAUUGCGAUUAUAGAGAUAUCGCAACCUUGAUGUUCGGCCCAUAUUGUGACCGCAAACCUUUUUUAAAAACCAUAACAUACACACACAGAUCUCUUAAGAAGAAAAAGGGAACAAAAAUGAUUACCUUUGAAUGGUACUUGACUAUUCAGAUACAUUUUAGGACUGAGCAAACAAGACAAGAAAUAACAUGCACUACAUGGGGAAAAAAGAACAAUUGGGAGGGCAUGUUCUUCAGCAGCAUCUACUGUAAAUGGCAUGUAGCAAUCAGAAACUAAGCAAGUGACUGGGGGGAUAAGACCAGCAGUGGCAGAGUCUUGAAGUUUAGCAAGAAGUUCAUCAAAGAAGUGGCGAAAGUUCGUUAUGAUUGAUUCACCAAGAGAGUGUAGGUCUUGACUUACAUCACCAUUACCAUCCUUUGGAGUUAAACCAUCUGGUAUAGUCUCAAAGUUAAAGUCAGUGAAACCAUCAAAGGCAUUUUCACCUCUUGAUUUGAGCAAACGUUUGUGAUUGUAUUCAGUGUUAACAAAGGUUAUGUGAAAGCCUCUAAGGUGAAGCAGUUUUGCUAUUUUCAACAAUGCAUUGAUAUGGCCUUGAACUGGAAAUGGAGUUAACACUGCAUGUGGCUUUUUCUCUUCAAAGUUACUCAUGAUUGAUAUUUUUCUUAUGUAAGAAAACUAAGAAAAAACUGAGGUGAAAAAUCUAUGAGGCCUCUAUAUAUAACAAUGAGUGAAUUUUGUUACGUAUCUAUUAUCUAUUGUAUAAUAUAAAAAAAUUCUUAAGAAUGGAAAAAACCAUUUUUCUUUUUGAAUAAUUCAAUUACUGUCUAAUUCAUUUUUAUCUAAUUUUUAGUAAAUUGAAAAUCGGAUUUUCUAAUUAAGAUAAUCCAUAUUUGAUAAUUUUUUCUAUACAUCAAACUUUCUUUAUAAACUCUUCCCCUUAAAUAUAUUAAGAGAAGGCCAUAUUUGACAAUAUAUCUUCUAAACCAAUAAAAAUCAAAUUGCAAAUUCUAUGGUACAGCCAAUAUAUUUGAAUGUACCGGUACACUUACUCUUUAAAUUAAUGGUUAAAUGAGUUGUUUUUUGAAGAAAAAUAUUAUUUUCUAUCCUUUAUAUUUAUAAUAACUAAAUCUUAUUCAUCAAAAGUGUUAACGAAAUAAAAUUAAUUUUUUUUGAAUUUUUAGCACUCAUAGUUGAGAAUAUUGAUUAUAUUUUACGAUAAUAUGCAAAAAAAUUACUAUAAUUCUUAUAAAUAAUGAACUGAUGUUUUUUCUUAUGAAAUGAUGUUCUAUAAAAUAUAAAUAUUGAUAAAUAGUUAUUUAUUUCACAAAAAAUAAUCGUUAAUUUAUAAAAUUAUGAAAAAAGAGUACCGGUACACCUCAUUUUGUGAGUCUACAAUAGAAGUUCCCCAAAUCAAAUACAGUCAAAAUAUACUUUAAGUAAAAAAAAUAAAAAUCAAAUAUACUUAAUACAAUAAAAAUCCAAUUUGGACUUGACAAAGAAAAAAAUCCAACAUGUGCAACAAAUUGACGUGGUGAACGAAAGCAACGUCUGCAUGUUGAAAGGAGACCACUUUCUGUGGUGGGGACUGAUUUUAUAUACAGACAAUGGUGUUCAGACGGGAACAGACUUGCCAGUCUAUUCUUUUAAUAGUGUUAAUUAAGGGUGUUUUGGUGCAUUUUUAAUCGAUUUUGAGGUUAAAAGUUAUCCAAAUCGUAAAAUAAAAGAGCAUCAUGUUUGAUUUAAUUGACUUUUAAAAUAAAACUUGAACCAAAUCAAUAUGGGUUGAAUUAUAUUGGUUCGUGUGGUUUUUUCGAGACUAUAAUUUUUUAUUUUUAACAUUAAAAUCGAGUUAAAAACUUAUAACACAACAUAUUUCCAAUAAUGUUUCCGACAAUGUUUUCAAUUUCAUCCAACAUGACAAUUUUAUUUUCACCAAAUAAUAAUAUAGACGAAAUUUAAAAUGUGGACAAAAAGUAAUCCUAUUAAAGAAAUGUAAAAUACUAAGAUUUAUCAUUCUAUAAAAUUUUAUUUUAUAAAAGUUUCCAUUUUUGAAAUAAAAAGUAAAGAAGAAAAUUAACAAGAGAAAAUAAUAUGUCGUUUUAUAAAAGUUUUCAUUGAAUUUCUAUGAGUAUUGGUCUACCUGAAUUAGGUUUAAUUAGCGUUUUUCUUAUGUUGCGGUUUAGUUUGGUUAAUAAAAUAAAAACUGCAAACCGAACCAAACCUUGCGGUUAAGUAAAAAAGUGAUCCGAAUUCAUCCAAACCAAAUGCAUUUUUUGCGGUUUUAGUUUGAGUUGGUUCGGUUUGCAGUUUUUCUACUGGAUUGGUCAGUUUUGAACACCACUAUUUUUUUUGUCUAGUAGCCUAGUGUCUGGAGCUCACACAAUUAAAUUUGAAGAAGUGGGGUAUCUGGGGUUCAAACCCCGACCCUGUAUAAAUUGUGCAAUGUUCUUAUCAAUUGAGCUAAGCUCACGGGGACGUUUCGAACACCUCUAGUGCUAAUGCAUAUAAAUUAUGAAUAUUUAGUAGUUUUUAUGAAAUUUUAAUUUUGAUUAAAAUUAUAGAUAUAGAUAUUUUGUUCUUUAUAUUCUAACAAAUUAUACUUAUUUUUUUUAAAUAACACUAACAAUAUAGCAAAUAUAAUAUAAAUUCUUAUCUUUUUAUUUAUAUUUUUAUUUUUAUAAGCCUUAUUUCAUAAGCCGUUUUCAGCAAAUUUUCAAAAAUGUUUUCAAAAUCAUUUAUGAAAACAUCUUAUAUAUGAAAACAAUUUAACAUAAAUUUAUCUUUUGCUGUAGAAAUAGUUUAUGCAUAAGUGCUCAUCAUAAUUAAUAAGAACUUGCGCUAUAAAUUAUUUAUCCAAACAUGGCCUCUAUUCAUUACUAUUCAACUUAUGAAGCGUGUAAGAAUUAUACUCCCCGAUGUCCAAAAAGGAACUGAAAGGUGAGCAUUUCUUAAUUCAUUGAUUUAGAAUUAUUAAGUUAUGUUUACAAUUUUUCAUGGUUCAUAUUUUUUUUCAGUUUUCAGUAGGACGCCUAUCUUACUUUUUAAUGAUUUAUUCUAUUGAAUUUAUAGAGAAAAGGAGGGAAACUGAAAAGUUAUAAAUCUGUUAUUGAUCAAAUGACUCCCUAAAACUAGUUCUGCAGUAUACCAAUCUUAUAUAUCAUUAAAAGCUUACUAGGGUUUUUUAUACAAGAAAAUGUUAAUGCUUAGUAUAUUAUGUAAGUAACCUGAAUUGGAAUCUUAGACCUCAUGUUAAGCAGUGGUUUAGAGUUUUUUUUUAUAUAAGAAAAUGUUAAUUGUAGUGAGUUAUGUUAGUAACCAGACUUGUUAGUUAUUGAUUUGAAUUCUGUUACAACUCAGACACUUAAGCUACCCCUUGAGGAUAAAAUUAUGCAAGAGUUACUUACAACAAAUAACUGUAGUAACCAUCGAUUUCAGAACUGGAUCCGCUGAUUGAACCAGGAAUCGGCCAGUCUAUACCGGUUGUUCAACCAUGGUCGGUUAUAAGUCUGUCAGAACCUCAUUCAACCAUGGUUUAUUCAACCGAAUCAUUGUUUUUUCGAAUGUUCAUACAUAUUUCGGGAAAUAUUCUUUAAUUCCUGGAUAUGAAAGACAACCAAAAUCUCAUAUUAGUUUUAUUCAUGGUCCUAUGUUAAAACCUGUUCUAUAAAGUAGCUGAUCUUAUGUACGCCUGAUAUAUUUGAAGUUUGAUCCUUCUGUUUGCAUAGGCUGUUCUUUGAUGAUAUUGAAAAUGAAUAGUAUAAUUGCAUAGUAGUACUCAACAUAAGUGAAUGUCUUUUAUUGUUAUAGGAUAGAACCUUUCAAAUCAAUCUCCGAAGCAAGAAGCUUACAAGCAAUGAGAAGUUUAUGAAUAUAAUAUUAAUGUGAUCUUUAGUUACGAAGAAUGAACUUGAUGAAGUUGAAUGCAUUGUUACGAUGUUCCUGACUAAAAUGUUGAUAUCCACACUUAAGAACAUAGGUAGACAUAAAAUGCAAAUUAUUUGGUCCGAACAAAACUAUAAAAAUCGUACAAAAGUCACUUAAGUUCGAUUUUGUUUGAGUAACACCUCCUUAAUCACUUUCUCCAAGUUCAUGUAUGAACAGCCUCCAGGUCUCGUGUCCUCCUCCACCUUCUUCUUCAACUCAAUUGCCUUUUGCCUCAUCUUCUUUGCUUUCUCUCCCACCAUCAAUUCAUUAACCAGCUUCUCCACCUCCUCUCUCUUCACAUUAGUGUCGAUUUCAAUUCCAAUUUUCCAUGUAUUGCAUAAAUAUCUGCAGCUUACUGGGUGAUCAGCGAAAAAUGGCCAACACAACAUUGGAACUCCAGCAGAUAUGCUUUCAGUGAUUGAGUUCCAUCCGCAAUGAGUCAAGAAUCCACCAAUUGAAGGGUGGUUCAGUACUUGCUCUUGCGGACACCAGCUCGUUAUUAGGCCUCUAUCUGAAAUUUCAUUCACAAACUCCGAUGACAAAACAGCUGAGCCGCCGAUGACAAGAUCGGGCCUAAUGAUCCACAAAAAGGGUUGCUUGCUAUUUGCUAAACCCCAUGCAAACUCUAACAGUUUUUCUGCAGUCAUAACUGUCAAGCUCCCAAAAUUCACAUAAACAACAGACCUAGGUUCCUUGGAUUCAAGCCAAUAAAGACACUUGGUAUCUUCUUUCCAAAAAUUGGUGCUUAAAGAUGUCAAAUGGUUUUCUGGACUUUGAUUUAAAAACGAAGAUAAAGGGCCAAUAGCAUGAAUACAAGGGAACACAGUGGAGAGAGCAUUCAUUACAUCCUUCUCAAGUUCAUUAGAAGUGUUUAAAAUAUAAGCAGAGGGUCGGUGAGCCCUUCCAGACGCUUCAAGGAUAAAUUCUACCAUGGAAUCAUUUGGAUAUUUUGCUCUUACAAAGUCCGGAAGAUCCUUGAUUCGGAAGUUUUUCAUGUUGGAAAUUUAGGUCUUAAUAUAAACAGAUUUCAUAAUACAUGUUCAACAACUAUGAAUCAAUAGCGGAAGCAAACAAAACAUUGAACAUGAUUAUGAUCGGAUCUACGACAUGUUUGAUUUACCAAGGAUAUUAAGAAUUAGGGUAUUAGGAAUACCUGGAUAAAGCUUUUGUAACAACCCUCUCAUCAACAACGAUAACCAAAGAGAGGAGAUGAUCUGAAACACGCAAUAGAGUUAGCGGCGGCUGAUUUGGUUCUUCCUCAACCGGUACCUUUAUGCCUCAAGUUCUCUUCAGAUGGGGAGAAGAGAGAGUAUUGCCGUGUACGGUGUAUUGGGGACCAUAGCCUCUUUUAUAUUGGAUGGCCAUUAGGGUUUCCCAUUAUUCCAUUAAUGGGUCAUCCGGACAUCCACUCAUGUUGAGUCCAUAUCAACUAAUUAAAUAAUUAAUUAUCCAAAAUAGAAAUCUAAUUAGCCUUAUUACUUAAUUUGAUCACUAAUCAAUUAAGGCUCACAAUUGAUAAAUAGCUAAUAUAAUUAUUAUUACGAUAUUUGCCCACAUAAUGAUAUUGGAAUAUUAUUAAUUAAUAAAAUAUUCCAACAUUUCAGUCCUGGAAUACAAUCUACUUUAGUGUCCAAAUAUCCGUUUGUGAGAUAACUGUCAUCUGUACAUCAAAUUACAAAAUCUGUUAACUUGAAAUGUCAUAUUAAUACUUUAACUACACUACAUCUAUGAAGAAAGAAAGAAGAUUAAUUGAUUGUUACCUUUUAGUGGUAUGACACCUUUGUCAAACAGUGUAGGUAAGUGAAAACAAGUCAAAAACAUACAUGCACUGGCUGGACUAAAGAAAACAACAGGGAUUGAAAGUUCUUCAGCAGCUUGUAUUGUAAAAUACAUGCUAUUAUCAGAAACUAUGCAAGUAACUGGAGGGACAAGACCAGAAGUGGCAGAGUCAUUAAGUCUAGCAAGAAGUUCACAAAAAGGUUGUAGGAAGUUCUUUCUGAUUGAUUCACAUAGAGCAUAUAUGUCUUGAUUAACAUCACUAUCGCCUUCUAUCGGAGUUAAACCAUCUGGAAUAGUCUCAAAGGUAAAAUCGGUGAAACCAUCAAACGCUUUUGGACCUCUUGAUUUGAGCAAGCGUUUGUGAUUGUAUUCGGUGUUGACAAAGGUUAUGUGAAAGCCUCUAAGGUGAAGAAGCUUUGCUAGUGUUAUUAAUGGAGUGAUAUGUCCUUGAAGUGGAUAUGGAAUCAACACUGCAUGUGGCUUUUUAUCAGAAAAAUGACUCAUUUCUGAGUUUUCUUGUAUUAUAGUAUGUGUAUGACUUGAGGUUUAGAGAUAAAGGGAUUAGCCAGUGCCAACAAUACACCUACCUAACAACUCUAAUCAUAAUGCCAAAAAACAUGUCAUGUGACAGCGUUUAAAUUAGUCUGUAGCUGAAUAAAAAUUUGGUGAUGAAUAAUGGCAAUCAUUAGGCUGUGACCAAUAAUGUUGGAGGACUUAAUGAUAAGUAAUCUAAGUCAAAUAAUUGCAUGGUUUUGUAACCAAUAUAUGUGAACAAUAAAAGAUAUUUAAACUGUCUCAUUAUUGUAAGGGAAAUAUAUUACAGACUCUAAUUUGAACUACACAAUAUUCUAUCCGUCGCAUAAAAAGUGUUUUAUUUAGAAUGUGUACGAUUCUUAUGAAAAUAAUUAGCUGUGUUGAUUUUAAUGGUAAAAUUAAUAUCAUUUACUAAAAUAUUCAUAUUAAUUUAUAUCAUUUACUACUAAGACUUUGUUUGCGAGUUGGAUUUUGGAGGGGAGGGGAAGGGAAGGAAAGGCUCAUGGCUCAUGGAGUGGUAAAUCCUUGUUUGCGAGUUUUAAAAAAACAAGGGAAAGGUUUUGGGGGGUUUUGAAGGGCUUUAUUUGUCCAAUUUUAAAGUUCCCCCAAAUUGGGGGGUUUUGGGGGGUUAAACAUACAAAUUGACAAUUUUGCCCUCUUAAUAAUUCAAAAUUCUAAUUUUAGACAUUACUAAAAUUAUUACAAUCUUUUUUAAAAACAACUUAUUCAAAACAACUUAUUUAUACAAAACAGCUUAUUACGACCUCAUUUUCAAAAACGGCUUAUUCAAAACAGCUUAUUACGACCUCAUUUUCAAAGACCACUUAUUCAAAACAACUUAUUUAUAAAAAACAGCUUAUUACGACCUCAUUUUCAAAAACCGCUUAUUCAAAACAACUUAUUUAUGCAAAACAGCUUAUUACGACCUCAUUUUCAAAAACAUCUUAUUUAUGCAAAACAGCUUAAUACGACCUCUUUUUCAAAAACAGCUUACUCAAAACAGCUUAUUUAUGCAAAACAGCAUUAUACGAUCUCUUUUUCAAAAACAGCUUAUUACGACCUCAUUUUCAAAAAUCGCUUAUUCAAAACAACUUAUUUAUACAAAACAGCUUAAUAUGACUUCAUUUUAAAAAACAGCUUAUUCAAAACACCUUAUUUAUGCAAAACAGCUUAAUACGAUCUCUUUUUCAAAAAAAAGCUUACUCAAAGCAGCUUAUUUAUACAAAACAGCUUAAUACAAUCUAUUUUUCAAAAACAACUUUUUCAAAACAGCUUAUUUAUCCAAAACAGCUUAUUAUCACCUCUUUUCAAAAAAACAGUUUAUUUGUGCAAAACACCUUAUUUCGACCUCUUUUCAAAAAAUAGCUUAUUCAAAACAACUUAUUUUUACAAAACAGUUUGGAUAAAUAAGUUGUUUUGAAUAAGUUUUUUUUAAAAAAGAGAUCGUAUUAUGCUAUUUUGCAUAAAUAAGUUGUUUUGAAUAAGCUGUUUUUGAAAAAGAGAUCGUAUUAAGUUGUUUGGUAUAAAUAAGCUGUUUUGAAAUAGCUGUUUUUAUAAAAGAGAUUGUAUUAAGCUGUUUCGCAUAAUAAGUUGUUUUGAAUAAGCUGUUUCUGAAAAUGAGGUCAUAUUAAGCUGUUUUGUAUAAAUAAGUUGUUUUGAAUAAGUGAUUUUUGAAAAUGAGGUCAUAAUAAGCUGUUUUAUAUAAAUAAGUUGUUUUGAAUAAGCUGUUUUUGUAAAAGAGAUUGUAUUAAGCUGCUUUGUAUAAUAAGUUGUUUUGAAUAAGCUAUUUUUGAAAAUGAGGUCAUAUUAUGUUGUUUUGUAUAAAUAAGUUGUUUUGAAUAAGCGAUUUUUGAAAAUGAGGUCAUAAUAAGUUGUUUUGUAUAAAUAAGUUGUUUAAAUGAGGUCGUAAUAAGUUGUUUUGUAUAAAUAAGUUGUUUUGAAUAAGCGGUUUUUGAAAAUGAGGUCGUAAUAAGCUGUUUUGUAUAAAUAAGCUAUUUUGAAUAAGCUAUUUUUGAAAAAGAGAUUGUAUUAAGCUGUUUUGCAUAAAUAAGCUGUUUUGAAUAAGUUGUUUUUGAAAAAGAGAUUGUAAUAAGUUGUUUUGUAUAAAUAAGCUGUUUUGAACAAGUUGUUUUUUUGAAAAGAGGUCGUAAUAAGCUGUUUUGUAUACAUAAAUUGUUUUGGAUAAGUUGUUUUUGAAAAGAGAUUGUAUUAAGCUGUUUUGAAUAAGCUGUUUUUCUGAAAAGAGGCCAUAAUAAGUUGUUUUGUAUAAAUAAGCUAUUUUGAAUAAGUUGUUUUUUAAAAAAAGAUCGUAAUAAUUUGUUUUUCAUAAGAUAAGCUAUUUUUUAAAAAGAGGUCGUAAUAAGUUGUUUUGUAUAAGUAAGUUGUUUUUAAAAAGUGAUUGUAAUAAGUUUUUUUUUUUUUUUAUAAAUAAGUUGUUUUUUAAAAAUAGAUUUUAAUAAUUUGUUUUUCAUGCGAUAAGUUGCUUUGAAUAAAUUUGAAGUUAAAUUACGAAGUAUAACAAUGUAUUGAUUUUAAGAGGAAAAAUGGUAAAAUAGUAAAAUUAUACUAUAAGCCCUCCAUCUCCUUUUCUUUAUUGACUUUUUAACUCCCAAACAAGAGGAAGGUUUUCCCUCCUUUCUCCCUUCCCUCCCUUUCCUUCCCUUCCUCUCCUUAGCCUUUCCUUUCCUUCCCCUCAAAACUCGCAAACAAAGCCUAAAAUGUAUUUUGAGAGUUCGCUUCGUAAAAUAUUUUUUGUUUAAUAGUGAGUUGAACAAAAAUUAAUUUAUGUUUAGAUAUAUUUAUUAGCGCAUCUUGCAACGUUUCUCUUUUGUUGUAAUCUAAUUAUGAGUGAUAAGAUAAUUAACUCGAUGAGAGUUAAGAGAAGAAAAUAUAUGUUGCAAUCUGAUCUCAUUAUUAAUGGAAAAAAAUUUACUACAACUUAUUUAUAUGGAAAUUACUUGCUAGUCAAGCAAAACAUACUCAACUUACCUAGCUGUAUUUUGUAGUUCAGAUAUUGAUGAAAAAGCUAAACUAUGGAAAUUACAACAACUUAAAAUUUACUACAACUUAUUUAUAUGGAAAUUACUUGUGAAUUUACAUAAAAUUAAGACUAAAAAUUAAUUAUUCUAUUGCAUCUAGAUAGAAAAUAGAGAGAGAAAAAAAAUUAAAAUUUUAGUUCUGUUAUUGAUCAAAAAGCUAAACUAUAACUAUAUUAACUAUAACAUCUAGAUAAGAGAAAUAGGAUGCUCAUAUACAUAUUCUCACCAAUAUUCUUCACUAGUAGAAUAUGUAAAGAGAACAAAAAUAUCAUAUUAGUUUCAGUCAUGUUCCAGUCACACCAACAUGGACACUAGACAUGACACGACUCGACACUGACAAUGAAAUUUUGAUGCCUGCAAUAAUUUGAGAAAAUAGAAUAAAUGUAUUUAAAUGUGUUGGAGUCGUUUAGGUGUCAAAUAUCAACAUGUUUCGGACACUAAACACUCAUCGAAGUGUCAAUGUUGCACCCUUUAAAACCUUACACCUAAGUAAGCUUACCAUUUCUAUUUUUUUAUAUUAAAACUGAUUCCAAUGUUAAAGUAAAACAUUAACUUAUGGCUUGUAUUUAAUUUAGUUAUUCCUAACAAAACUAUAAAUCUUGUUUAACAUAGAAGGAUAUUAAUUUAAACCUGAACACACAGCAAAGUGAUUGUUUGCUUUAAUUUAUCCUUCAUAUGAUAAUGGAAUUCAAGAUACUGUGGAAAAAGCCUCACUACCCCAACUUCAAAAUUUCAAAGCUGUAAAAUUCAACGAAUAAAAAUUUAAAUACAUAUGCCAUAGAAUUAUCCAAUUCAAUCCAUUAGUUUAAGAAUUCUUGCACAAGAUAUGUUCAAUUCCAUCAUCAUGAACUCUUAAUUUAUUAGCAUCAAUAUAUUUGUUAUACAAUACAAUAGCAUCAUCCCUUAAAUUCAGUAGGAGAAUAUCAAUGGAUCAAUAUAAUACUACAUUGCAUAAAAAAUUCACUUAUAGGUUUGAUUUUAUUUAAGCAAAACCUCCUUAAUCACUUUUUCCAAGUUUAUGUAUGAACAACCUCCAGGUCUCGUGUCCUCCUCCGCCUUCUUCUUCAACUCGAUUGCCUUUUGCCUCAUCUUCUUUCCAUUCUCUCCCACCAUCAAUUCAUUGACCAACUUCUCCACCUCCUCUCUCUUCACAUUGGUGUCAACUUCCAUCCCAAUCUCCCAUUCAUUGCAAAUAAUUCUACAGUUUGUUGGCUGAUCAGCAAUGAAUGGCCAACACAACAUUGGCACUCCAGCACAUAUGCUUUCAGUGGUUGAGUUCCAUCCACAGUGAGUCAAGAAUCCACCAAUUGAAGGGUGGUUCAAUACUUGCUCUUGCGGGCACCAACCCGCGAUUAGGCCUCUAUCUGAAAUUUCAUUCUUAAACUCAGAUGACAAAACCAAGGAACCACCAAUGACAAGAUCAGGUCUAAUGAUCCAUAAAAAAUGUUGCUUGCUAUUGGCCAAACCCCAAGCAAACUCUAAUAGUUUUUCUGUAGUCAUAACUGUUGUGCUCCCAAAAUUCACAUAAACAACGGACCUCGGUUCCUUUGAUUCAAGCCAAUCAAGACACUUGGUAUCCUCUUUCCAAAGAUUUGUACUUAAAGAUGCUAAGUGGUUUUGUGGACUUUGAUUUAAAAAUGAUGAUAAAGGGCCAAUGGCAUAAAUAGAAGGGAACUUAGUGGAGAGAACAUUUAUUACAUCCUUCUCAAGUUCAUCAGAAGUAUUAAAAAUAAAAGCAGAGUCUUUGUGAGCCGUUCCUGCGCCUUCAAUGAUAAAUUCUAUGAUCGAAUCAUUUGGAUCAGUAAUCCUUAUAAAGUCAGGCAAAUCCUUUAGUCGAAAGUUCUCCAAUCCUGGAAUACAGUCCACUUUAGUGUCCAAAUAUCCGUUUGUCAGAUAACUCUUAUCUGCAUAUAUCAAAUUUAUAAAAGUUGUUAGCUUGAAAUUGAAUCUUCAUACUCCAAAUAUAUGUCAUAUGAACACGCUAACUAUUCUACAUAUAUGAAGAAAGAAAGAAGAUUAAUUGUUACCCUUUAGUGGUAUGAGACCUUUAUCCAACAAUGUACUAAAAUGAAUACAAGUCAAAAACAUACAUGCACUGGCUGGAUUAAAGAAAACAAGUGGGAGUGAAAGUUCUUCAGCAGCUUGUAUAGUAAAGGACAUGGUAAUAUCAGAAACUAUACAAGUGACUGGAGGGAUAAGACCAGAUGUUGCAGAGUCAUUAAGUCUAGCAAGAAGUUCGCGGAAAGGUUGUAGGAAGUUCUUUCUGAUUGAUUUACAAAGAGCGUAAAUGUCUUGACUAACAUCACCAUCACCAUCCGUUGGAGUUAAACCAUCUGGAAUAGUCUCAAAGCUAAAAUCAGUUAAAUCAUCAAAGGCAUUUGGAGCUCUUGACUUAAGCAACCGUUUGUGAUUGUAUUCAGUGUUUACAAAGGUUAUGUGAAAUCCUCGAAGGUGAAGAAGUUUAGCUAGUUUCAACAAUGGAUUGAUAUGGCCUUGAACUGGAGAUGGGAUUAACACAGCAUGAGGUUUUGAAUCACUCAUUUCUGAGUUUGUGUUUGAAUUUUGAGCAAAGGGAAGCCAAUGGUUUAAUAGAGAUAAAGUGACCACUUUUUGUUAUAAAAGGAAAUCAAUUUUUCAUUAAAAAGUUUAUAGCACAAACUUAAGUAUGUAUUUGUUUGCGGUGACGAGAAUUGAUUUGAAUGAAUUUGUUUAACAAAAUUAGUGUUUGGUUAAAGUGCGUUGAAUGUGAUAUAUAUUUAUAUAAAUUUACGUAAAAUUGAUUUGAAAAAUAAAUUGAAGACUUAAAUUCGAUUAUAAAAAUAAAAUUUUGAUACCUUAGCUUUAAAUAACGAGCGGCUUAAAGGCAAAAUCAAUUCCAUUUAAGAACACACAACCAUAGGGUCUGACUAGGCUUAUCUAAGUUAAAUACUGUUAGUUAGAUGUCGUUCGAGAUUUAUUUUGGAAUUGAUAGAAUAAAAAAGUUGAGAAACACUUUAUAUUGUGAUCCUAAGAUUACUAAUAUAACCAAAUUCCAUCUAAUCACAAUUUUUUUUUACAAGCAAUAAUCAUAACUAACUUAUAAAUAUCUUUAAAAAUAUUAUAUUAAUUUAUCAAACAAUAUCAUUAUUUGCUAGGGUGGAAAUAAAUGUGGUCAAAUUAAUGUACCUAGCCAGUGUUAAAAGCAAUACACCUACAUUUCAGGUUUUUUCUAGAUUACCCUCUCUUAUUUAGAGGAUAUUUUACCCUCUCAUGAUAUCAACCAAUUAAAAUGUAAUAUAUAUUGGCAACAUUAAAUGUCAUAAAUGAGUCAAUUUUUUUUUCUAAAAAAAGAAUCAAUUAUAAUCAUAAGGUAACUUUUAAUACUUUUAAUUUUUAUUUAAUUAUAGACAUGAUUACAUUAGAGAUCCUUUAUCUUAUUUAUUUGUUACACUUGGGUCCUUUAUCUUUAUUUAUUUUCACUCAGGUCUUUUAUCUCUUAUAAAAGCACAUAUACACCAUUUUUCUCAUUUUUUUUAUUAAAAAAAAUACAUAAUUUUAUUUUUUAAAAUAUCUUUUUAUUAAAAAUGAAACAAAUCCAGAAAUAUGAUGAAGAUGUUCAUCAUCUUCAUCUUCUUCCAUUGAAUAUUCAUCAUCUUCAUUGAAUCAAAAAAAUUUCUACACAAAUAUAUCUCCAAAUAUCAUGAAUUAAUGUUAUAUUCACCUCAAAUCUUCCUUUAAACACAAAAAUCAAACCCCUAUAGAGAAAGAGAUUUAGUUUCAUCACCAAAAAAGAAAAAUUAGUUAUAUAAAUUGUCACGCUGUAUAUUAUUAUUAUUAUUAUUAUUAUUAUUAUUAUUUUCUAACUCAAUAUUCAAGCCCGAUAUAAAAAUAAUCCCAAAAUUGAUAGCAACUUUACACAUCAAUUUUGUUGUUUUCAGAGCAAUCUUAACUUUCGUAAAGCCUAACCCUUCCGUCAGUGACUAAGCCUCCACCAUCCGCCUUGCAACAUUUGUGAAAUUAAGGUUUUGAUUUUUGUGUUUAAAAUAAGAUAUGAGGUGAAUAUAACAUUAAUUCACGAUAUUUGGAGAUAUAUUUUAGUAGAUUUUUUUUUAUUUAAAGAAGAUGAUGAAGAUUCAAAGGAAGAACAUGAAGAUGAUGAACAUCUUCAUCAUAGUUUUGGAUUUUUUUUUUCAGUUUUAAUAAAAAUAUAUUUUUAAAAAUAAAAUUAUGUAUUUUUUAAUAAAAAAAUGCGAAAAAAGAUGUAUAUGUGCUUUUAAGAGAGAUAAAGGACCUAAACGGGAAAAAAUAAAGACAAAGGACCAAAGUGUUACAAAUAAAUAAGAUAAAUGACCCAUAAUGUAAUAUUGCCUUAAUUAUAUUUAGGUGUUCAAUCUUAAUUAAUUUACACUACAAGAUUGGCUUAGAACAAUAAAAAUUUCACAUCAAAUUUCUUUAAUCUGAAUGUUCUUAAAUUUAUCAAUUAUAUUUAUAAAAUUUAUUCCUCCCAUUUUGAUUGUUCAAUUUUGUCGUUCCCAACUGCCACAUUUUUCAAUUUUCGUGAGAAUCGUCAUGAUUUCAAAUAUCGUGAGAAUUGCCGUUAUUUCCAGUACAACGUCAGGUAUGAUGACUUGAUUUUUCUUGGUUGUGAGGUAGUUAAUUAAAACAAUCGAGUAAAUCAUCCGUUGUACUUUGAGGGCUGCUAGCAGGUGUUGCCGCUGUGAUGUUGUGGGAGUUUGCUAGCAUUUUUUUGGUUGUUGCUGAAAUGAUUAUGUGAUGAGGCUUUUGUUCUUUUAUUUGGACUUAAAGGCUUUUGCUGAUAGUGAGACAGGUCUAUGCGUGUUAACAGAUUUUAUUAGGUUGACUGCUUAAAUAAAAAAAAAAAGUCACGAUACCUGACGCGGUUCUAAAAACAACGACAAUUCUCACGAUAAUUGGAAAUUGCGGCAAUUUGAAACGACAAAAUUGAACAAUCAAAAUGGGAAGAAGAAUGAAAAAGAAACAAAAAUUGAUCAAUAUGGAAGAAUAAAGAAGAAGAAAUUUGAAAGAAGGAGAUGUUUUUGUUCUCACGUUCGAGGUUCUGGAAUGGAAGAAAUUUUAUGAAUGUAAAUGAUGAAUUUAAGGACAUCCAGAAGAAAGAAAUUUGAUGUAAAAUUUUAUUUGUUAUAAGUCUUGUAGUGUAAAUUAAUUAAGAUUGAACACCUUAAUAUAAAAAAAAAUUAAAUCAUUUGUUGUUUAAAAAAAAUAUUAAAAGUAUUAAAAGUUACCUUAUGAUUAAGAUUAACUCUCCUUCAAAAAAAAAAUUAAGAUUAACUCUUUUAUUUUUAAAAAAAAUCUAUUUAUUUAUUUGACAUUUAAUGUUACCUAUGUAUAUUACAUUUGGAUUGAUUGAUAUCAUGAGAGGAUAAAUUACCCUCUAAAUAAGAGAGGGUAACGUAGACUUCACCUACAUUUCAACUCUAGUCAUAAUGCCAACAAAACAUGUCAUAUCACAGCAUUUAAAUUAGUCUGAAGCAGAUGAAAAAUUUGGUGAUGAAUAAUGGCAAUCAUUAGGCUAUGUUACAACUGGUCAUAUAACAAUAUAAGAUGUUGGAGGACUUGAUCUAAAGUAAUCUAAGUCAAAUAAUUGCAUGGUUUUGUAACCAAUAUGUGACCAAUAAAAGAUAGUUAAACUUUCUCAUUAUUGUAAGGGAAAUCUAUUACAGACUCUAAUUUGAACUACACAAUAUUCCGCUCCUCGCAUAAAAAGUGUUCUAUUUGGAUUAUGUUCUAUUUUUAAAAAAUAAAGGGAAAUGUUAACGAGUCUUUUUUGGGGAAUUCUUUAACGACUAUAAGUAAUAAGUAUUUAUAAAAAAAUUUGUAAUUAAUGCAUUGGAAAUUAAAACGUUUGAUUUUUUUUUAAAAGUAAUUGCUUAUUUUAGAAUGUUUAAGGAGUAUUCCGAAGGCGCUCGUUAACACAAAACCCAUAAAUAAAUUAAUUGUGUUGAUUUCAAUAGUAAAAUUAAUAUCGUUUACUAAAAUAUUCAUAUUAAUUAAUAUGAUUUUACUACUAAAAUACGCUUAGUUUGUGUUUUUUCUUAGUUUGUGUUUAAAUGUUGAGAUAAAGUCAAAGUUUCUAGAUUUAUGGAUAAGAAAAUAGAGGAAAAAGGCAAGGGAGACUAACUUAAAGUCCCAACUUAGUAUGACCCUUUUGAUAAUGAUACGUAAGAUAAAAAUAACAAUUUCUUAAUCAAAAGUUGGUAGCACAAACAUAAGCGUGCCUUUGGUUUCAUGUAGUGAGAAUUGAUUUGAGAAUUCGAUCACUUCAUAAAAUUAUUUUUGUUUUAAAGUAAGUUGAACAUAAAAUAAUUUAUGUUUAUAUUUUUUUUUUAGCGCAUUUUGUAAUUUUUCUAGUUUGUUCAGUAAUCUAAUUAUGAGUGAUAAGAUAAUUAACUCAUGAGAGUUAAUAGAAGAAAGUAUAUCACCACAACAUAAUGGAUAUCUAUCCUUCAAAUAAAAAAUAUAAUUAACAUUUAGUAACAUUUGAAAAUUAUUACUAAAUCAAGAAAAAUGUUACCGAUUAAAAUCAAUAACCUUUGUACAAUUGUUAGGUAUAGUCUGUAUUACUAAAUACAUUAAUAAUGGCAUAAUACACUUUAUAUAGUGAUCAAGGUUGCUAAUUUCCUCAACAAAAAAAAUAAAGGGUCACUAAUAUUAGCAACCGACAACUAAUCAUAACUAACUUAUAGCUAUCUUAAUCUUUCAAAAAAACUUAUAACUAUCCUAAAAAAUAUGAAACUAAUUCUAACAAAUAUCAAACUAUCUAAGAAAUUAUCAAACAAUAUCUUCAUAUGAUUGUUGACUGACCAAAACAAAAAAGAUUCAAUUUCCUAUUUGAACUAGAAGACAAUCGUAUAAGAUGUUUCUCAUGACAAACAAAAAGAUUCUAUAAUUGUACAGAAAAGAUCCAAAACAAGUAUGACUAUUUUUUUCUUUUAUCAGAGUCUAUUGGCUAUUAUUGGCCAUGCCUUAAUCAGUCCAAAUUUUCACAUCAUGAAAAUAUUAAAUAUUUGAAUUUGCACAAGACAAUAUCUCUCCCUUGUCUUUUAACGAGGGUUGUAAAACUGUUUUAUACAUGCAUCCAAUCAAGCCAUGUCAUAAUGGCAAUUGUUUAGGUUACUUCCUCAAAUAUCUCAAAAUAUAAUAAACAUGGGGUGAUCUGAUAAGAUUCAACGCGUAAAAAAGCUUUACACCGUCAGUUUUCAGCAAUUAAUCUCUGCAAAGUAUUUCUGCCUACAAGAUUUGAUAGGAUUCUACAUAUGAUUUUUAUUUUGUUUUGAAAAAAUGGAUCGGAUCCUUCACAUGAACAUGAUAAUGAAAUUCAAGAUACCGUGAAAGAAUUCUUAUUCCCUCUACUUUACAUAUUAAAAUGGUAGGAUUCAUAUUAUAAAGUUAAUAUACAUGCCAUAUAAUUAUCCAAUAUGCAUAUAUUCAAAACAUUCAGUUUAGGAACUCUUGCUGAAGAUGAGUUCACUUACAUCAUCACUUAAAUUCAAUAGGGGAAGAUCAAUCAAUUAUUGUUGAACUGCUUUGCAUAAAAAAUUACUUAAAUUUGAUUUUAUUUAAGCAACACCUCCUUGAUCAAUUUGUCCAAGUUCAUAUAUGAACAACCUCCAGGUCUCGUGUUCUCCUCUGCCUUCUUCUUCAACUCGAUUGCCUUUUUCCUCAUCUUCUUUCCUUUCUCUCCCACCAUCAAUUCAUUGAUAAGUUUCUCCACCUCCUCUCUCUUUACAUUCGUAUCAAUUUCCAUCCCAAUCUCCCAUUCAUUGUAAAUAAGUCUACAGUUUGUUGGCUGAUCACUAAAGAAUGGCCAACACAACAUUGGAAUUCCAGCACAUAUACUUUCAGUGGUUGAGUUCCAUCCACAAUGAGUCAAGAAUCCACCAAUUGAAGGGUGGUUUAAUACU